ACUGCAAAGUGUUUGCAGAGCAAGACACUUUUAUGGAACUUAGAUCUAAUCACAGCGAAGGGAAACCAACUCCCCAAAGGUUCCCAAGGAAAUCUCCUAUCCAUGUUCCCCUCUAGAUGCCAAACGUUGACUCCUUCAAAGCUCCUGUUUCUCUGAUCUCUGGCGAUGCAAAAACUCCCUUCUGUUAAAGGAUACAUUCCCUGGGGAACUCGGAACAUCUGGGUUCUUCCACGGGAGUAAUGUUUUCAGUAUCUCUCCCAAUUAAGGAAGCAUCGGAGCUAUCCACAGCUGGGGUCUGUAAUUGGAAGGAGCUCAGAGAACUGGGCGAAAGGUCAGAAUAAGCUUCAUCCUGGUCAAAGUUCAUUUCUGAAUCAGGUUCAGAACCCAAAGGUGGCUGGGGUGUAACACCGGGAUUUUUUGGCAAUUGUAGGCCAAAACACCUCACGACCCAGAGGUUGAGAACCAUUGACUUACAUGGUUCUCAAUGGUCAGUGGGUCUUUCCGAGUUGAGACUUAAAACUGUAUAUAAAGCAAUGUUAACCUAAUAAAUCUUUUUAAUCUUCUACAGAUCUGAUUCUUCACACUGGAGAUACUAGCAACCAACUCCAGCAUCAUCAGCCUUGAAAGUACAUGAAAGAAAGAAUAAAAGGCAUUAAGAAAUGUGUGAGAGGAAACGUAGAAAUGUGCAUAGGGAUCCAUACAAAUCGCACUGCAUGUCCACAAAGAGAUAUUCCUUGAGCUAAUAUUGCCUCUUGCAAUAAUCAGUCUCUUCUUCUCCUCUUUCCAGAUAAACAUUUGGUAAGUAUUUCUAAGAAAAAAAGUUCCUUACACAAAUAGAUAUAUGUUAAAUGUCACCUAAUUAAACUUUGUAAUUUGUAACUUGCCGCUGGUUCUAAAGUGUGGUAUGAAUUUGGUGUGGAAUGAAGUUGAGGUAGUGGUCCUUCCCGACCGACUCCUCAGCUGAAUUUGGGAGAAACACCAGGUCCCCAACUGAACUAAUCCUGGAUAACCUUUAAGGGAAAAGUGAUAGAGAAUUCUGCCCUAAAGAUUAAUUGAGGUCAUAAUCUCUCAUUCUGUUAGGGAUUCCUCUUCUGAAGAAGAGGAAGGGGAGCAGGAAAGUGUUCAUGAAUCUGAGGGUGAGUUGGAAUCUGAGGAGACUUUGCAAGUACCCACAUUUCAGGAGAGGCGAAAGGAAACAGAAUAGAGACGUUGUUCAGCUAGAAUAGCUGCCAGAAAUGCAGCUGAGUAAUUGGGAACUACCCUAGCAGCUGUGCGGGAACUCAGGGCUAUAAAGCAGAAGCAGGUGCAGCCAGCUCUUGCUGGUAACAAACUGACUCUAAUGCCUUUGCUCUCCUUGUGCCUGCUCCGAGUCUGCAUCUGGAUUUAUUGCUGUUUCUUUGUCUGAAGUAAGACUGCUAUUGGAUUUGGGAGUUUA
This 1435-nucleotide long non-coding RNA is filed under the name Anolis carolinensis (green anole). Its description in RNAcentral is "lncRNA (ENSACAG00000038576.1)". Lineage: Eukaryota; Metazoa; Chordata; Lepidosauria; Squamata; Anolidae. The record is from RNAcentral.